This 253-nucleotide ribosomal RNA is filed under the name uncultured bacterium. Its description in RNAcentral is "partial 16S ribosomal RNA". It matches the Rfam family "Bacterial small subunit ribosomal RNA", at positions 524 to 776 of the family's 1533-position model. The record is from RNAcentral.
UACGAAGGGUGCAAGCGUUACUCGGAAUUACUGGGCGUAAAGCGUGCGUAGGUGGUGAGUUAAGUCUGUCGUGAAAGCCCCGGGCUCAACCUGGGAAUGGCGAUGGAUACUGGCUCGCUAGAGUGCGGUAGAGGAGAGUGGAAUUCCCGGUGUAGCAGUGAAAUGCGUAGAGAUCGGGAGGAACACCAGCGGCGAAGGCGGCAUCCUGGACUGGUCCUGACACUCAUGAGCGAAAGCGUGGGGAGCGAUCCGG